AAAGCUAGGGUAGCGAACAGGAUUAGAUACCCUGGUAGUCCUAGCUGUAAACGUUGUGCACUGGAUGUGGCCGGGAUUUUGGUCCCGUCUGGUGUCUGAGCGAAGGCGUUAAGUUCACCGCCUGGGGACUACGGCCGCAAGGCUAAAACUCAAAGGAAUUGACGGGGGCCCGCACAAGCGGUGGAGCAUGUGGCUCAAUUCGAGGCAACGCGAAGAACCUUACCUGGGUUUGACAUAUACCUGACCGCCGGUGAGAGCCGGUUUCUCUUUGAGCAGGUAUACAGGUGCUGCAUGGCUGUCGACAGCUCGUGCUGUGAAGUGUUCGGUUAAGUCCGGCAACGAGCGCAACCCACGCUGUUAGUUACCAUCAGGUGAAGCUGGGGACUCUAACAGGACUGCCCGUGCUAAGCGGGAGGAAGGCGUGGACGACGUCAAGUCCGCAUGGCCCUUACGCCCAGGGCUGCACACGUGCUACAAUGGCCGGUACAGAGGGUCGCCACUCUGCGAAGAGGAGCUAAUCCCGANAACCGGCCCCAGUUCGGAUUGGAGUCUGCAAUUCGACUCCAUGAAGUAGGAAUCGCUACUAAAGGCGUAUCAGCAACGCCGCCUUGAUCCUGUUCCCGGGCCUUGUACACACCGCCCGUCACAUCAU
This 652-nucleotide ribosomal RNA is filed under the name uncultured organism. RNAcentral describes it as "bacterial SSU rRNA". It matches the Rfam family "Bacterial small subunit ribosomal RNA", at positions 756 to 1405 of the family's 1533-position model. The record is from RNAcentral.